This 1018-nucleotide ribosomal RNA is filed under the name Raffaelea subalba. RNAcentral describes it as "SSU rRNA". It matches the Rfam family "Eukaryotic small subunit ribosomal RNA", at positions 74 to 1102 of the family's 1831-position model. The record is from RNAcentral. Lineage: Eukaryota; Fungi; Ascomycota; Sordariomycetes; Ophiostomatales; Ophiostomataceae.
UUGUACUGCGAAACUGCGAAUGGCUCAUUAAAUCAGUUAUCGUCUAUUUGAUAGUACCUUACUACUUGGAUAACCGUGGUAAUUCUAGAGCUAAUACAUGCUGCAAAGCCCGACUUCGGAAGGGUUGUAUUUAUUAGAUUAAAAACCAAUGCCCUCCGGGGCUCACUGGUGAUUCAUGAUAACUUCUCGAAUCGCACGGCCUUGCGCCGGCGAUGGUUCAUUCAAAUUUCUGCCCUAUCAACUUUCGACGGCUGGGUAUUGGCCAGCCGUGGUGACAACGGGUAACGGAGGGUUAGGGCUCGACCCCGGAGAAGGAGCCUGAGAAACGGCUACUACAUCCAAGGAAGGCAGCAGGCGCGCAAAUUACCCAAUCCCGACACGGGGAGGUAGUGACAAUAAAUACUGAUACAGGGCUCUUUUGGGUCUUGUAAUUGGAAUGAGUACAAUUUAAUUCCCUUAACGAGGAACAAUUGGAGGGCAAGUCUGGUGCCAGCAGCCGCGGUAAUUCCAGCUCCAAUAGCGUAUAUUAAAGUUGUUGCAGUUAAAAAGCUCGUAGUUGAACCUUGGGCCUGGCUGGCCGGUCCGCCUCACCGCGUGCACUGGUCCGGCCGGGCCUUUCCCUCUGGGGAGCCGCAUGCCCUUCACUGGGCGUGCCGGGGAACCAGGACGUUUACUUUGAAAAAAUUAGAGUGUUCAAAGCAGGCUUAUGCUCGGAUACAUUAGCAUGGAAUAAUGGAAUAGGACGCGUGGUUCUAUUUUGUUGGUUUCUAGGACCGCCGUAAUGAUUAAUAGGGACAGUCGGGGGCAUCAGUAUUCAGCUGUCAGAGGUGAAAUUCUUGGAUUUGCUGAAGACUAACUACUGCGAAAGCAUUUGCCAAGGAUGUUUUCAUUAAUCAGGAACGAAAGUUAGGGGAUCGAAGACGAUCAGAUACCGUCGUAGUCUUAACCAUAAACUAUGCCGACUAGGGAUCGGACGGUGUUAUUCUUUGACCCGUUCGGCACCUUACACGAAAGUACA